This 616-nucleotide ribosomal RNA is filed under the name uncultured bacterium. RNAcentral's name for it is "bacterial SSU rRNA". The stretch from base 1 to 520 matches the Rfam family "Bacterial small subunit ribosomal RNA", at positions 338 to 873 of the family's 1533-position model. The record is from RNAcentral.
CCUACGGGAGGCAGCAGUGGGGAAUCUUGCGCAAUGGGCGAAAGCCUGACGCAGCCAUGCCGCGUGAAUGAUGAAGGUCUUAGGAUUGUAAAAUUCUUUCACCGAGGACGAUAAUGACGGUACUCGGAGAAGAAGCCCCGGCUAACUUCGUGCCAGCAGCCGCGGUAAUACGAAGGGGGCUAGCGUUGCUCGGAAUUACUGGGCGUAAAGGGAGCGUAGGCGGAUAGUUUAGUCAGAGGUGAAAGCCCAGGGCUCAACCUUGGAAUUGCCUUUGAUACUGGCUAUCUUGAGUACGGAAGAGGUAUGUGGAACUCCGAGUGUAGAGGUGAAAUUCGUAGAUAUUCGGAAGAACACCAGUGGCGAAGGCGACAUACUGGUCCGUUACUGACGCUGAGGCUCGAAAGCGUGGGGAGCAAACAGGAUUAGAUACCCUGGUAGUCCACGCUGUAAACGAUGAGUGCUAGUUGUCGGCAUGCAUGCAUGUCGGUGACGCGAGCUACGACAUAAGACGACGUCCGCCGUCGGGAGGUACGGUCGCGAAGAAGUUAAACUUAACGAAAGUAAGUUAGUUACGGCGUUGAGACGUGCCGACGGACGACGACGAGGGGAGGUUAGG